ACAUCCAGAGAAUUUAGCAGAGAUGCUUUAGUGCCUUCGGGAACUCUGAGACAGGUGCUGCAUGGCUGUCGUCAGCUCGUGUUGUGAAAUGUUGGUUAAGUCCCGCAACGAGCGCAACCCCUAUCCUUUGUUGCCAGCGAUUCGGUCGGGAACUCAAAGGAGACUGCCGGUGAUAAACCGGAGGAAGGUGGGGAUGACGUCAAGUCAUCAUGGCCCUUACGAGUAGGGCUACACACGUGCUACAAUGGCGCAUACAAAGAGAAGCGACCUCGCGAGAGCAAGCGGACCUCAUAAAGUGCGUCGUAGUCCGGAUUGGAGUCUGCAACUCGACUCCAUGAAGUCGGAAUCGCUAGUAAUCGUAGAUCAGAAUGCUACGGUGAAUACGUUCCCGGGCCUUGUACACACCGCCCGUCACACCAUGGGAGUGGGUUGCAAAAGAAGUAGAUAGCUUAACCUUCGGGAGGGCGUUUACCACUUUGUGAUUCAUGACUGGGGUGAAGUCGUAACAAGGUAAGCGUACGUGU
This 524-nucleotide ribosomal RNA is filed under the name uncultured bacterium. RNAcentral describes it as "bacterial SSU rRNA". It matches the Rfam family "Bacterial small subunit ribosomal RNA", at positions 984 to 1509 of the family's 1533-position model. The record is from RNAcentral.